GAUGAACGCUGGCGGCGUGCCUAAUACAUGCAAGUCGAGCGAACGGACGAGAAGCUUGCUUCUCUGAUGUUAGCGGCGGACGGGUGAGUAACACGUGGAUAACCUACCUAUAAGACUGGGAUAACUUCGGGAAACCGGAGCUAAUACCGGAUAAUAUUUUGAACCGCAUGGUUCAAAAGUGAAAGACGGUCUUGCUGUCACUUAUAGAUGGAUCCGCGCUGCAUUAGCUAGUUGGUAAGGUAACGGCUUACCAAGGCAACGAUGCAUAGCCGACCUGAGAGCGUGCUCAGCCACACUGGAACUGAGACACGGUCCAGACUCCUACGGGAGGCAGCAGUAAGGAAUCUUCCGCAAUGGGCGAAAGCCUGACGAAGCAACGCCGCGUGAGUGAUGAAGGUCUUCGGAUCGUAAAACUCUGUUAUUAGGGAAGAACAUAUGUGUAAGUAACUGUGCACAUCUUGACGGUACCUAAUCAGAAAGCCACGGCUAACUACGUG
RNAcentral lists this ribosomal RNA (497 nucleotides) under uncultured bacterium. Its description in RNAcentral is "partial 16S ribosomal RNA". It matches the Rfam family "Bacterial small subunit ribosomal RNA", at positions 28 to 507 of the family's 1533-position model. The record is from RNAcentral.